UAUUAGAAUUAAUUUGUAUGGUCGGUUGUGAUAAACAAUCUUGUACUGUAUAAGUGAUUCUUUCCUACUGGUUACUCGACUCUGUCCUUUACUGGAUGGAGUAGUGUCGCAAGGCAUCGCUUGAUGUUAUAUUGCCUGUAAGUGUAGUUAUUGGGUAAAACUGGUAGUGAAACUUAUAGGAUCACAGUAUAGUAUUAAGUGGGGUUCCAGUUCAUUUACUUUGAGUAAAAUUAGAGUGUUCAAAGCAGCCUCUUGGGGCAUUGAAUAGAUUAGCAUGGGGAUAAUAGAAUAGGACUCUUGUCUUUUUAUUGGUUUAAAGAUUAGAGUAAUGAUUAAUAGGGAUAGUUGGGGGCGACUUGUAUUCAAUAGUCAGAGGUGAAAUUCUAGGAUUUAUUGAAGACAAACUUACAGACGGAAAAGACAUUUGUCCAAGGAU
Molecule: ribosomal RNA, 436 nt
Filed under: uncultured eukaryote
Lineage: Eukaryota
Description: partial 18S ribosomal RNA
Rfam family: Eukaryotic small subunit ribosomal RNA (bases 207-436)
Source: RNAcentral